Molecule: ribosomal RNA, 473 nt
Filed under: uncultured delta proteobacterium
Lineage: Bacteria; Deltaproteobacteria
Description: bacterial SSU rRNA
Rfam family: Bacterial small subunit ribosomal RNA
Source: RNAcentral
CGUGAGUGAUGAAGGCUUUCGGGUCGUAAAGCUCUGUCAAGUGGGAAGAAACCAUAUGGUGUUAAUAUCGCCAUAUGCUGACGGUACCAUUGAAGGAAGCACCGGCUAACUCCGUGCCAGCAGCCGCGGUAAUACGGAGGGUGCUAGCGUUGUUCGGAAUUACUGGGCGCAAAGAGCGUGUAGGCGGCCUGAUAAGUCAGAUGUGAAAGCCCUGGGCUUAACUCAGGAAGUGCAUUUGAAACUGUCAGGCUUGAGUAUGGGAGAGGAGAGUGGAAUUCCCAGUGUAGAGGUGAAAUUCGUAGAUAUUGGGAGGAACACCCGUGGCGAAGGCGACUCUCUGGACCAAUACUGACGCUGAGACGCGAAAGCGUGGGGAGCAAACAGGAUUAGAUACCCUGGUAGUCCACGCCGUAAACGAUGAGCACUAGGUGUAGCGGGUAUUGACCCCUGCUGUGCCGCAGCUAACGCAUUAA